GACGAAGGUGGCGAGCGUUGUUCGGAAUCACUGGGCAUAAAGAGCACGUAGGCGGCUAAUUCAGUCGGAUGUGAAAUACCUCGGCUCAACCGAGGAACUGCGUCCGAUACUGCUUGGCUUGAGGUCCGGAGGGGAGAGUGGAAUUCCCGGUGGAGCGGUGAAAUGCGUAGAGAUCGGGAAGAACGCCGGCGGCGAAAGCGACUCUCUGGUCGGAAUCUGACGCUGAGGUGCGAAAGCUAGGGGAGCAAACGGG
RNAcentral lists this ribosomal RNA (253 nucleotides) under uncultured bacterium. Its description in RNAcentral is "partial 16S ribosomal RNA". It matches the Rfam family "Bacterial small subunit ribosomal RNA", at positions 524 to 776 of the family's 1533-position model. The record is from RNAcentral.